AAGAAAAUUAAAUAUCAAUAGAGAAAACUUUCACAUGUGAGGAAAAUCCUAUGAUCAAGAAAACCAAAAACAGUCAUUAUUAGGGUACCCAAAUCAAGAAAACAACAGUUUCUUUCAUUGAUCAUAGGUUUUAAAUUUGAUGGGGUAUUGUUUUCUGGUCAAUUUGUUCUUGGGUUUUCUUGGAGGAAUCAAUUGGUCAUCUCUAAGGGGAUAAAGUUCGAAUCUUUUGUAAGUUGGUUCAAGGAAAAAGGUGGGAUCUUUACUUUGUUUACUAGUAAAAGUUACAAUUUUUGUGCGAGUUUAUACUUUGUUUAGUAGUAAAGUUGGAAUUUUUAUAAGUAUUUUGAGGUGAAAUUGGCUUGUGAGUUGUGAGGUUAGCUAUAUAUGGAGUUAAAGAGAUAAAGUACAAAUCUUUUCCAAGUUUAUUGUGUUUACUAGUUAAGUUGAAACUAUUGUGCAAGUUUAUGCUUUUUUUGCUAGUAAAGUUGGAGGUUUUACCAAUAUUUGGGGUGAAAAUGGAUUGUGAGUUGUGAAGGUAGCUAUAUGUGGAGUUAAGAGGAUAAAGUUCAAAUCUUUUUCAAGUUUAUCAGGAAAAAAGGUAUUCUUUUUGCUUUGUUUACUAGUAAAGUUACAGUUUUUGUGCAAGUUUAUACUUUGUUUACUGGUAAAGUUGGAACUUCUUAAUAGUAUUUUGGGGUGAAAAAUGUCUUGUGAAGGUAGGUAUAUGUGGAGUUUGAGUGGUAUUGUGGGAGCUUUUGUUGAUCUUGCUAUAGCAUAUUUCUUGCUUUGUGCAGCAACAGUAGCUUUUAUAGCAUCAAAGUUUCUUGAUUUUUUUGGUUUGAGAUUGCCAUGUCCUGGUGAUGGACUUCUUUUUGGUACUGUUCCAAAUCGGAAUUUAUGUUUUCAUAGACUCUUGGUUGAUUUCCCAGCUGAGAAAGUGUCGAAUGUCCAACUCUCCAUAAGAGCAAACUUUCCUUUUACUGAUACUAUUUUAGGGAAAGACCAGAAUUGUGAUUUGAAUUUGAGAUUAAUUGGUCAAGAAAAGGGGAAUAGUCCUCAUGGGUAUCUUGAAAUGGGUGAUGAGGCUUCAUGUAGUUCAGUAUCAGAUGCAAGAAAGUCGCAUAAUAUUGCUAUGAUUGAAUUAAGUCCAAGAAAUGAAUUUGGGCAAAAGGGGAAAGGAGUGAUGAAUCAGAGACAAAGAGGAGGGGUUCGUCGAAGAAGGCGUAAAACAGCUGUUGAUUAUGGGAGAUCUUCGUCAGUUUCAUCAUAUGAUCCGCAAUAUGAAGACUUCCCACUAGGUCCUCCAUCUCCUCCUAGUACUAAUAAAGAAGAUGGUGGCCACCCUGCACUGGUUAUGAGAUUAGGCCAGAGAGACAGCUUUGAACUAACUGGAUCUUCUGAUGAAAUUGAGCACAUUGAAAAGAACGUCGCAUCCAUUGAAGAGCUGAGACAUAAUGGGGAACCAGUUUCCAGCUUCCAUGAGGGGAACAGAAUAAGACUCUUGGAACGAGCCUUAGAGCACGAACGAGAAGCUCGAGAUGCUCUUUGCAUUGAGCUGGAGAAGGAAAGAAAUGCUGCCGCGAGUGCUGCAGAUGAGGCUAUGGCCAUGAUCUUACGUCUACAAGAGGAGAAGGCAGCUAUUGAAAUGGACGCCCGGCAAUAUCAGAGAUUAAUUGAAGAGAAAUCUGCUUUUGAAGCAGAGGAAAUGAACAUUCUAAUGGAGAUCCUGAUGAGGACAGAGAGGGAGAAACACUUUUUGGAGAAGGAACUUGAAGUAUAUAGGCAGAUGACUUAUCUCGGAAAUGAAGAACCAACAGGUGAUAGUGGGAAUGUAGUGGAUGCACUAAGACGUCAUGUUGCUUCACCUGAUCUUAAUGAGGAUCCACUUCUUAUGCUUCAUCAGAUUAGUGCUUCUUUCAACAAGAGGACUGUUGCGGAAAAUAAGAACUCCGAGGAGGUCAGUUCUCUUGAUAAACAAAACUAUAUUGCUUUAGCGGGAGAGGCACCGAUUCAAAGACAGAACAAAGAUGUCAACUCCCAGAAGCAAGUUGACUUAACAGAGCAUUCUUGCAGUCAAGAAUAUCAGGAAAAAGAGAUGGUUUUUAUGGUUAACCACUCCGAUGUGGCACCAGGGAAUGGGAAAAUACUGGACACAUCCUUGAAACCCUGUGAGACAGGUCUUUCGGAACAGAAACUUCCUGAUCAGGCCAUUCCCCUAGAAGGUGAAGUGCUAAAAGAAAAUCCAGAUAUGGAAACAAGUGACAGAGCUUGUAUUGAUGUUUCUAGAAAAGACAAGUGUUUGAUGUAUCAUGAGACAGUUGGAUAUCAGGGAUCAAAAUGUCCAUGUAAUUUGACCUCAGUCAAAGAACCUCGUGUUCACGAUGUUCAUGUCAUUGUCGACGGGUCCAACUUUUGCAAUGAUGUCAGUAAUGGUGAAUCUAGGAAAAGUGCAUUAGAAUUUUGUGGGAAAACUAGUCACCCUGUUGAAGCUUCUCCUACACAAGAUGUUAUUAGAGAUCGUCCAAGUACUAGCACGUUGUAUACUCAAGUGGAUCUUAAAAUCAGUUCAGACACUACUGGUGGGCUUCCACCAGUGGGCUCACGUGGUAAACCUUUGCUGCGUGAUUCUCGGGGAAAUUCCGUAUGCUCAGUAGACAAUGAAAGGCUGAAAAUUGAAAUGGAAGUGGAGCGGCUUCGAGAGAGGUUAAAGAUUGUGCAAGAGGGAAGAGAGAAACUUGACUUGACUGCAGAGCAUAGAGAAAGAGAAAAGAUGCAGUUAAAGCUUUUGGAGGAUAUAGCGCACCAACUUCAAGAGAUUCGGCAGCUUGGUGAACCUGAGAAGGCUGUACGACAGGCUUCCUUGCCCCUGCCAUUCUCUAAGGGCAUGUCAAAGAAAAGACGUUCUCGAAGUGUUUCUGUAGGAAUGCAACAAAGCUCUUGAGGUAUGGUAAUUUGCAUGACGAUUACUAGAACUUGCUCAGAUCCGGGGAAGGCGGUCCAAAUCAUACUCCGUACUCCAUAUUAAUUUUCAAAGAGAUGUUGUGCAGCUCUUUGAGAAGUAGUUCUUCUUGGAACGGCCUCUCUAGAGCAUGCAGCUGCUGGUAUUAAAGUGCAACUUUGGAGGACAAAUGGGGGUUAAUCCUCUACUAGGUAUGCAUGUUGCCCCGUAUAUUGGAAUUGCCGCAUUCCUGUAUUUAUCCCGGAGGACAAAGAAAUGUGCAGCACAGAAUGAGAUCAAGAUAGCAGUUAUUGAUGCAAAAAGCGAAGUUAAUCCAAGGAGCAACUUUCUUGGCAAGUCUUUCUCGAAAUCAUUGUGUCGGCAUCGAGAUGUGAGGAUAGCCAAGAAAAACACUAGAGCUGUGACAGAGAAGCAAAGAGAAAUUAGUGAUGUUACAGAGAACACGUCAAAAGCAGGCUGAUUUUUUAAGUGUGGAUGGCCGUUAUCAUCUGCUCCGCCUGGGAUUGUGGAAGAUGUAGCAAAGGCAACAGUAGCAAUCAGUGCUGCUACGAGAGAGAAUGAAUUGGCAGUUGUGACGAGCCAUUGAGUUCCAUCACUGAGUAAAUUUGCAUGUGUCUCUAUGAAGAUCUGUCUUGGUGUCUGACCUUUAUUGUUAUAACGAACAUAUGAUUGUCGUGGCAAAGUGUGCUUCACAUACUGCAUUAUGAUAAGAAAAUAUUUUACACGUUAGUGUAAUUAAGUUAAUCCCUUGUGAUAUUAAAA
RNA transcript from Solanum lycopersicum (tomato), 3721 nucleotides. RefSeq lists it as uncharacterized. The record is from RefSeq and is a predicted model, not a curated record. Lineage: Eukaryota; Viridiplantae; Streptophyta; Magnoliopsida; Solanales; Solanaceae.